RNAcentral lists this transfer RNA (67 nucleotides) under Nocardioides sp. RNAcentral describes it as "tRNA-Ser". Lineage: Bacteria; Bacillati; Actinomycetota; Actinomycetes; Propionibacteriales; Nocardioidaceae. The record is from RNAcentral.
AGGUCAGAGCGAUGGAACAAGAGGACUCAUAAUCCUUGGGUCGCGGGUUCGAGCCCCGCACGGCCUA